RNAcentral lists this unclassified non-coding RNA (570 nucleotides) under Hevea brasiliensis (rubber tree). The record is from RNAcentral. Lineage: Eukaryota; Viridiplantae; Streptophyta; Magnoliopsida; Malpighiales; Euphorbiaceae.
AAAAAAAGCAGCAAAUCCACCAAUAAGGGAACCAGUAUGGUUCCUAACACUAAUGCCACAACUGGCCUGUGAUGAUCUGGUUAAGAAAGAGGCAUCAACAUUUAUUUUUACAUAUCCCAAUUCAGGCGGUCUCCAAGAGACUGAAAGAGAUAAAGAUUGAACAAGCGGAGGAUGGUGAUGUGGAACCUCAAGAUGAAGAAGCUUUUCAGCAGCAUUUCUGGACUUUUUGGAAAGUUUUGAUAUGAUCUGGAUCGGUAGACUAAAUGACUACCCCAUUCUUAGCCUUCCAGAUACACCAGCACAACAAAACCACAAAAACAAUUUGUUGGGAAUUACUAGAAUUCAGAGAUUCCAAUAGUCCCUACUACCAAUCAGAAAAGGAAUUAAAACCAAUAACAUUUAUAGUAAGACCCAAAGAUGACCCAAACAAACUAACUUUCGCAUGAUCAGAGAACAAUAGUAAAAGUUCUAAAAUUUCCUCAUGUUUUCCACAAAUAGGGCACAUAAGAGAGCCUGCACUCUUUCUCCGAAACAAAUUAACUUUUAUAGCUAAAGAAUUAGAGCAAGCCG